AUGCAAGCGCGCGCGUGCCACCAAUGCGACGCUGCCCCCUCCUCCCCCUCUUCUCCAUCAUCACAGCAGCAGCAACCUAGACCGAACGAACAGAGACAGACGACGCCGCGUCAAUCAGUGGUGGAGGUAGUAGGCGAGGAAGGAGACGACGAGCGCGACUGGGGCGGUCACGGCGGUGGAGGCAGAGGCGCCGCUGGCGGCGGGGCCAGGGGCGCCGCCGGGGGCGCCGGGGGCACCGGUGGGCGCCUCGGAGGCGAGCACCGCGGUCGCCGAGGCGGCGACAACAAGAGCGGCGAAGAACACCUUCUUCAUCUCCAUCGAUUGGGUACGUACGGCCGGCGCGGCGGAGGUCGGCCGGGCGAGCAGGGGAGCGGCCGGUUUAUUCCUCUCCGAUCGAGCAGCGAGCGAGACCGAGUUUAUUAG
RNAcentral lists this ribosomal RNA (423 nucleotides) under Triticum aestivum (bread wheat). RNAcentral's name for it is "partial small subunit ribosomal RNA". The record is from RNAcentral. Lineage: Eukaryota; Viridiplantae; Streptophyta; Magnoliopsida; Poales; Poaceae.